This 320-nucleotide ribosomal RNA is filed under the name uncultured Bacteroidales bacterium. RNAcentral describes it as "bacterial SSU rRNA". It matches the Rfam family "Bacterial small subunit ribosomal RNA", at positions 28 to 339 of the family's 1533-position model. Lineage: Bacteria; Pseudomonadati; Bacteroidota; Bacteroidia; Bacteroidales. The record is from RNAcentral.
GAUGAACGCUAGCUACAGGCUUAACACAUGCAAGUCGAGGGGCAGCAUUAGAUUAGCUUGCUAAUCUAGAUGGCGACCGGCGCACGGGUGAGUAACGCGUAUCCAACCUGCCCCCUACCCGGGGAUAGCCUUGCGAAAGUAAGAUUAAUACCCGGUGCAGUUGCGAUCCCGCAUGGGGAUGCAACGAAAGAUUCAUCGGUAGGGGAUGGGGAUGCGUCCGAUUAGCUUGUUGGCGGGGUAACGGCCCACCAAGGCGACGAUCGGUAGGGGUUCUGAGAGGAAGGUCCCCCACAUUGGAACUGAGACACGGUCCAAACUCC